Molecule: long non-coding RNA, 495 nt
Organism: Octopus bimaculoides (California two-spot octopus)
Lineage: Eukaryota; Metazoa; Mollusca; Cephalopoda; Octopoda; Octopodidae
Source: RefSeq, a predicted model, not a curated record
AUAUGUUUCUUUAAAUGGCAACAAGAAGCAUUUGUCAUAAGGGUAAGAGUUUCUUAUAUAAUGAUCUCUUAAGCCCUUCUUCACUACAACACUUGAUCGCUGCAAAGAAAGAUAUUCUAUUUCUCCAAGAGAUAAACGAUGAAUUCCAAAAUCCUCUUCUUCUGUCUGCUUGUUGCAGUCGCACAAGUAUAUUCUAUUGAAUAUAAGGAAAAAUGCUUUGGAAUGUGCUUAGCUUGUUAUCAAGUGAGCUCACGUUAUUGUCCAAUGGAUAUAAGGAGGCCAGAAAGCGUUGAAGGUUGCAUUAAGUUUUGUGAUCCGGAAGCUCGAAACAUCAUCAGUGGUAUAGAAAAAUGCAAGACCGCUGCAAACAAGAUAGACUGCGUCGAUGCAAUAAUACACUAGAAUGGAAAUUCCUGAAAAUAUAGGUUCCUUUGUCAUUCAACAGAGCGUAAGCUACACUUCAGCGAUCAAUAAACCAGAACUUAUAAAGCAAAA